Cervus elaphus (red deer) is the source of this 2516-nucleotide long non-coding RNA. RefSeq lists it as uncharacterized. The record is from RefSeq and is a predicted model, not a curated record. NCBI's taxonomy places the organism in Eukaryota, Metazoa, Chordata, Mammalia, Artiodactyla, Cervidae. The transcript is spliced from 2 exons.
CAGGUUCCAGUCCAUUAAAGGACUGCAACAAGUGGCGCCCGAAAAAGGGACCUGGUACAUGUGGCAUUUCGGAUGGAGUGACUCAGGACCUAUUGAGGUUGGGACCUAUUGAGGUAGAUGGAUCCAACGAACUCACAUGGCUUCCUCUUUGGAAGAUUCGACCCAAGGGGGCCCCUGACAUUCAAAGUAGAGACAAAACAACAAAAAGCCCAAGAGGAAGAAAUUCCAAAACGGGCCAUGGUGGUUCUACAGAUCUCCAGGAAGCACCACCCUCAGCAGCAUCAACCUUAUGAUCUUGGGGACGAAUAAAAUCCCUUACUAAUCAAGCUGAAAAUCUGGUUUCUCAGCAGGGAAUGCCUCGGAGUCCUAAAAAUAUUUUUGUUGCCAUGCUUACUUUGCUUGCUUGCGCUCCCCCCACUAGAGCUGAACUAACUAAUCAUACUUACUGGGCUUAUAUACCCAAUCCCCCUUUACUACAGGUUGUAGAAUGGAUGGAGAAAGGACCAAUCAUAUCAACCAAUGACUCCAUACAUAUACUUUCUCCCUGGAACAUUAAAGGGCCCUCACACCCUGAAUAAGAAGGGAAACUAAUUAAUAUUUCUCUAGGUUAUGAAGUCCUUCCUCUGUGCAUGGGCCCAGCAGAAUUUGCAUAAAUGUUAGCCGACAAACUUGGGUUUUCACCCUGCCUCCAAAAGAGGACUUUUGGAGGUUGCUUGGAUUAUUUACUGCCCUUUCUUUGUCCGUGAACCAUGUUUAUACUACUGAAACUUUAGGGAAAGAACUCAGAACACUAUACAAAGGGUUUACUUGUAAGAACUUUAAAUAUACUCCUGUUCGUUGGGAAAAAUGUCAAACCAAAUCAGGAAAAUUUAUGUUUGUGGCUAAUCAUACAACUGUCUAUUGGGGGCCCCAUGGUAUGUGGUUAUCUAACUGCUCAGGUGAUAUUAACAGCACUGUGUGUGACUAUGCUACUCAAGUAGCAUGGAAGGUUACUAAUACUACAAUGGAGCAUUACCAUGACAAAGGACUUCUUGGGUGGCUUGACAGUGGAACGGUCCCCCCUCGUCCUUGAAUCAUCCUCCAUAAACAUAUUGGGCUUGAAAAAUGGGACAUCUGGAAACUUGCUGUGAACACUGAAGAACUUGGGACUUGGACUGGAUAUUUCACAGGGACCAGUUGUAGUCAUAAUAACUAUUUCUUUCGUUAUAACGAGUCAUAUUUUAUACAAGCUUGUGUCCCCCUUCCUUUUGCUAUAGCUAUAGGGAGUUUACAAUUCAAUAAGACUUUAUGUUCUGUAACUUGUAUAAAUUGCAAAUUAUAUACUUGUCUUAACUCUUCUGUUUCCUUAAGAAAUGAAUCACUUUUGAUUCUUUGAUCAUUCCAUAGUCUGUGGUUACCAAUAAAUCUCCAGCGACCCUGGGAAGAAGGUCCCAUGGCUGGACUUGCUUCCUGGUUACUUACUAAACUGCUCUGGCAAUCUAAAUGAUUCACUGGAUGGCUGAUUCUUGGUAUUUUGGGAUUAAUAGCUAUUUGUACCACUGCUGCUGUCUCUGGUGUUGCUUUACAAACCUCAAUUCAAACACAUAAUUUUAUUCAAAAUUGGACUAAAGAUGCUCAUACUAUGUGGGCCACUCGGGCUCAGAUAGAUGAGGAUAUACAAGAUGAAAUACAAGAACUAAAACCAGCCAUCAAAUGGGUUAGAGAUCAACUAAUAGAUGUACAAAAACAAGUGAUACUAAAAUGUGAUUGGAAUUCUACUCAAUUUUGUGUUACUGCUGUUCAAUUCAAUCAUAAUGCCUACAACAUGGAACAAAUAAAAUUUCAUUUAUAAAACAUACAUGAUAAUGCCUCUCUGAAUAUACAAUUAUUACAAAAAGAAAUCUUUGAAACUUUUUCUAAAAAUCUGCCCUCUUCCACUAAUUUGGAAACUUUAGCUGAACAACUAGCUGAUCAAUUAUCUGGGCUAGAUCCAUGCAGAUGGUUUCAGAGCAUUACUCACAGCAUUGGGUCUGGAACUGUAACUUUGGUGAUUGUCUUGACAAUUAUAUUAGUUGUUUACCACUGCCUUUAUGAAAAAAUUGUUAAAACUAAACAAACUCAAAUGGUCAAGACCCUUUUUACAAAUAUAAUAAAUAAAUAAGGGGGGAUUGUCAGGGAACGUUUAUCAGGAGGAUUCUUAUGUGCUGUUUGUCAUAUAUCCUCUGUUCCUUAUCAGUUCCUGGCAACAGGAAUGAGUGGAAUGGCACACUGCUCCCAGGACUGAGGUCAUAGGAUGAAACACAUGCAUGAAUCUCCUUUAGGAAACAUUCUCCUUAUGACAAAACUGCUUAGUCUCUAUCCUCUUUCUUGAGAUAUGGAUUGUCUCCUGACCUUAUGACCCUUGUUUAUCCCUUGUUCCCUUGAUAACAAUUGCUGUACGUUUGGUUUUCUGAUCUUUAUCAUUGUUGAAAGAAAUUCCUUGUACAACAGCCUAUAUAUACUCAGAGUAAGAUCAUUAAAGCACCCUUGCUCCACCA